GGCUGGUCCGAUGGUAGUGGGUUAUCAGAACUUAUUAACAUUAGUGUCACUAAAGUUGGUGUUCAACCCCGCACUGCUAAAUUUGACUGGCUUUAA
Molecule: unclassified non-coding RNA, 96 nt
Organism: Prolemur simus (greater bamboo lemur)
Lineage: Eukaryota; Metazoa; Chordata; Mammalia; Primates; Lemuridae
Rfam family: Y RNA
About the family: Y RNAs are components of the Ro ribonucleoprotein particle (Ro RNP), in association with Ro60 and La proteins.
Source: Ensembl